Molecule: ribosomal RNA, 463 nt
Filed under: uncultured Psychrilyobacter sp.
Lineage: Bacteria; Fusobacteriati; Fusobacteriota; Fusobacteriia; Fusobacteriales; Fusobacteriaceae
Description: bacterial SSU rRNA
Rfam family: Bacterial small subunit ribosomal RNA
Source: RNAcentral
GAUGAACGCUGACAGAAUGCUUAACACAUGCAAGUCGACUGGAAUUCUUCUUCGGAAGUUAGUACGGUGGCGGACGGGUGAGUAACGCGUAAAGAAUUUGCCCUUCAGACUGGGACAACUAACCGAAAGGUUAGCUAAUACCGGAUAUUAUGAGAUCUUGGCAUCAAGAACUUAUGAAAGCUAUAUGCGCUGAAGGAGAACUUUGCGUCCCAUUAGCUAGUUGGUAGGGUAAUGGCCUACCAAGGCAACGAUGGGUAGCCGGCCUGAGAGGGUGAACGGCCACAAGGGGACUGAGACACGGCCCUUACUCCUACGGGAGGCAGCAGUGGGGAAUAUUGGACAAUGGACCAAAAGUCUGAUCCAGCAAUUCUGUGUGCACGAUGAAGGUCUUCGGAUUGUAAAGUGCUUUCAGGUGGGAAGAAGAAAGUGACGGUACCACCAGAAGAAGCGACGGCUAAAUACG